ACGGCCAUACCACAUUGAAAACACCGGAUCCCGUCCAAUCACCGAAGUUAAGCAAUGUCAGACCCGGUCAGUACUUGGGAGGGUGACCACCUGGGAACACCGGGUGCUGUAGGCU
RNAcentral lists this ribosomal RNA (115 nucleotides) under Cordylochernes scorpioides. The record is from RNAcentral. Lineage: Eukaryota; Metazoa; Arthropoda; Arachnida; Pseudoscorpiones; Chernetidae.